ACUCCUACGGGAGGCAGCAGUGGGGAAUAUUGGACAAUGGGCGAAAGCCUGAUCCAGCCAUGCCGCGUGUGUGAAGAAGGCCUUCGGGUUGUAAAGCACUUUCAGCGAGGAAGAACGCUUGUGGGUUAAUAUCCCGCAAGAAGGACGAUCACUCGCAGAAGAAGCACCGGCUAACUCCGUGCCAGCAGCCGCGGUAAUACGGAGGGUGCAAGCGUUAAUCGGAAUUACUGGGCGUAAAGCGCGCGUAGGCGGCUUGAUAAGCCGGUUGUGAAAG
Molecule: ribosomal RNA, 274 nt
Filed under: uncultured bacterium
Lineage: Bacteria
Description: partial 16S ribosomal RNA
Rfam family: Bacterial small subunit ribosomal RNA
Source: RNAcentral